UACGUAGGGUGCGAGCGUUAAUCGGAAUUACUGGGCGUAAAGCGCGCGCAGGCGGUUCUCCAAGUCCGCUGUGAAAGCCCCGGGCUCAACCUGGGAAUGGCAGUGGAAACUAGGGGACUUGAAUCUGGCAGAGGGGGGUGGAAUUCCACGUGUAGCAGUGAAAUGCGUAGAGAUGUGGAGGAACACCGAUGGCGAAGGCAGCCCCCUGGGCUGAGAUUGACGCUCAGGCACGAAAGCGUGGGGAGCAAACAGG
RNAcentral lists this ribosomal RNA (253 nucleotides) under uncultured bacterium. RNAcentral describes it as "partial 16S ribosomal RNA". It matches the Rfam family "Bacterial small subunit ribosomal RNA", at positions 524 to 776 of the family's 1533-position model. The record is from RNAcentral.